Molecule: ribosomal RNA, 376 nt
Filed under: uncultured bacterium
Lineage: Bacteria
Description: partial 16S ribosomal RNA
Rfam family: Bacterial small subunit ribosomal RNA
Source: RNAcentral
CCUACGGGAGGCAGCAGUGGGGAAUAUUGCACAAUGGGCGAAAGCCUGAUGCAGCAACGCCGCGUGAGCGAUGAAGGCCUUCGGGUCGUAAAGCUCUGUCCUCAAGGAAGAUAAUGACGCUACUUGAGGAGGAAGCCCAGGCUAACUACGUGACAGCAGCCGCGGUAAUACGUAGGGGGCUAGCGUUAUCCGGAAUUACUGGGCGUAAAGGGUGCGUAGGUGGUUUCUUAAGUCAGAGGUAAAAGGCUACGGCUCAACCGUAGUAAGCCUUUGAAACUGGGGAACUUGAGUGCACGAGAGGUGAGUGGAAUGCCUGGUGUAGCGGUGAAAUGCGUAGAUAUUAGGAGGAACACCAGUUGCGAAGGCGGCUCUCUGG